Molecule: ribosomal RNA, 253 nt
Filed under: uncultured bacterium
Lineage: Bacteria
Description: partial 16S ribosomal RNA
Rfam family: Bacterial small subunit ribosomal RNA
Source: RNAcentral
GACGGGGGGUCCAAGCGUUGUUCGGAAUCAUUGGGCGUAAAGCGUGUGCAGGUGGUCUUGUAAGUUGGAUGUGAAAGCCCCGGGCUUAACCCGGGAAGUGCAUUCAAAACUGCAAGACUUGAGUAUGGAAGAGGGUCGUGGAAUUCCAGGUGUAGUGGUGAAAUACGUAGAUAUCUGGAGGAACACCGGUGGCGAAGGCGGCGACCUGGUCCUAUACUGACACUCAUACACGAAAGCGUGGGUAGCAAACAGG